AGGAAAGUUUCCUGGAAAAAUACUGUGUAGGAGGUUUUGGAUGUUUCGAAACUUCCUAUAGAGUAUUUUUCCAGAAAACUUUCCU
Molecule: microRNA precursor, 85 nt
Filed under: Picea abies (Norway spruce)
Lineage: Eukaryota; Viridiplantae; Streptophyta; Pinopsida; Pinales; Pinaceae
Description: miR11447 stem-loop (pab-MIR11447)
Source: miRBase by way of RNAcentral